RNAcentral lists this ribosomal RNA (879 nucleotides) under uncultured bacterium. Its description in RNAcentral is "bacterial SSU rRNA". It matches the Rfam family "Bacterial small subunit ribosomal RNA", at positions 54 to 946 of the family's 1533-position model. The record is from RNAcentral.
CAUGCAAGUCGAACGGAGCUUAGAGGGCUUGCUUUUUAAGCUUAGUGGCGAACGGGUGAGUAACGCGUGAGUAACCUGCCCUGGAGUGGGGGACAACAGUUGGAAACGACUGCUAAUACCGCAUAAGCCCACGGUACCGCAUGGUACUGAGGGAAAAGGAUUUAUUCGCUUUAGGAUGGACUCGCGUCCAAUUAGCUAGUUGGUGAGGUAACGGCCCACCAAGGCGACGAUUGGUAGCCGGACUGAGAGGUUGAACGGCCACAUUGGGACUGAGACACGGCCCAGACUCCUACGGGAGGCAGCAGUGGGGGAUAUUGCACAAUGGGGGAAACCCUGAUGCAGCGACGCCGCGUGGAGGAAGAAGGUUUUCGGAUUGUAAACUCCUGUCGUUAGGGACGAUAAUGACGGUACCUAACAAGAAAGCACCGGCUAACUACGUGCCAGCAGCCGCGGUAAAACGUAGGGUGCAAGCGUUGUCCGGAAUUACUGGGUGUAAAGGGAGCGCAGGCGGGAAGACAAGUUGGAAGUGAAAACCAUGGGCUCAACCCAUGAAUUGCUUUCAAAACUGUUUUUCUUGAGUAGUGCAGAGGUAGAUGGAAUUCCCGGUGUAGCGGUGGAAUGCGUAGAUAUCGGGAGGAACACCAGUGGCGAAGGCGGUCUACUGGGCACCAACUGACGCUGAGGCUCGAAAGCAUGGGUAGCAAACAGGAUUAGAUACCCUGGUAGUCCAUGCCGUAAACGAUGAUUACUAGGUGUUGGGGGAUUGACCCCCUCAGUGCCGCAGUUAACACAAUAAGUAAUCCACCUGGGGAGUACGACCGCAAGGUUGAAACUCAAAGGAAUUGACGGGGGCCCGCACAAGCAGUGGAGUAUGUGGUU